Long non-coding RNA from Musca domestica (house fly), 1068 nucleotides. RefSeq lists it as uncharacterized. The transcript is spliced from 5 exons. The record is from RefSeq and is a predicted model, not a curated record. Lineage: Eukaryota; Metazoa; Arthropoda; Insecta; Diptera; Muscidae.
CAAACGAAAAAAAAGCACCAACACCAAAAAUGAGUGAGGGACAAAAUUUAAUGACCACCUUCUUGAUUUUGUUCUUUUUGUUGCUCGUCUUGUGGAUGCUUUACGCAAUGUUCUAAAUCAGAGGAUUAACACCCCCCACCAACUGCCAGGCAUUGAUGAGGAAAUCACCCACAAAUAUGUUGACUAAAUAAAUAAAUAACCGUUGUUAAUUAAUUUCCAUUCAAAUAAUCACCCACCCAAAAACAAAAUCAAAAUGAGUGAGGCCCACAACUUGAUGACCACCUUCCUCAUCCUUGCCUUCUUGUUGACCAUCAUGUACGUCCUCUACGAAGUCGUUUUCUAAAUUCAAUCCCAAGACCCAAUAUGAAUCCUGAUUACAUCGCAUAAUUAUCACUGGCGUCGUCGAGUUGUGUUGUUAUGAUUAAUGGCAUUUACGUCGUCGUCGCCGUUGCUAAUCAUCGCCCCCUCAUCACCAUGAAGACCCCCACCCAUCCAUCAUUCUCGUUUGUACUUAAAAACCGUUGCCUUUUCUAUUAAGAAGAAAAUCGAAAUUCCAAAAUUAAGAUGCAGUACUUUAAGCAGCUAGUAUCUAAAAGGAUAAAUUUAUAUUAUUUUUCGUCAUAGUUCAAUAAGGAUAACAAAAGUUGACGUCAUGUAACCGCAUAUCAUCUACAGCAGCAGCUCUUUGGCGGUCUCUUUCCUUUUUUUUUUGGGUGCCACCCACAAAGGAUUAUGUCAACUUUUGUAUUUUCUUUUUUUUUUCAAUUUUUUAUUAUUAAAAAUAAUAAUUAUUGUUUAUAAGUAACUUAACAUUUUUACUGUAGCUUUUGACUUUUGUUAAAGUCGCACUUCUUUUUGUUUCUAAUUUACUAGUCACUAGUAUUAACAUUUAUAUAUUUUACAUUUAUGUAUAUUUUUUAUGAAAAACCCAAAAGAACAAGACCAUCUUUUCAACAAUCGGAAACCAGGAACUGUAAUUUUGUUUUAGCAUCAAUUUCGUUGAAAAGUGUUCGAAGUGAAAAUGUCAUCUCCUCACCCUGGAAAGAAUAAAAUUUUCUGAAAAACAAA